This 255-nucleotide ribosomal RNA is filed under the name uncultured bacterium. Its description in RNAcentral is "partial 16S ribosomal RNA". It matches the Rfam family "Bacterial small subunit ribosomal RNA", at positions 74 to 334 of the family's 1533-position model. The record is from RNAcentral.
CAAUAUAAGUGAUGGCGACCGGCGCACGGGUGAGUAACACGUAUCCAACCUGCCGAUAACUCGGGGAUAGCCUUUCGAAAGAAAGAUUAAUACCCGAUGGUAUAAUAAAACCGCAUGGUUUAAUUAUUAAAGAAUUUCGGUUAUCGAUGGGGAUGCGUUCCAUUAGGCAGUUGGUGAGGUAACGGCUCACCAAACCUUCGAUGGAUAGGGGUUCUGAGAGGAAGGCCCCCACAUUGGAACUGAGACACGGUCCAA